This is a non-coding RNA of Chiloscyllium plagiosum (whitespotted bambooshark), 98 nucleotides long. The record is from RefSeq and is a predicted model, not a curated record. NCBI's taxonomy places the organism in Eukaryota, Metazoa, Chordata, Chondrichthyes, Orectolobiformes, Hemiscylliidae.
UGCGUCUAACCAUAGUUGCCAGUGUGAGUCUCUCCUUCCGAAAGAACACGCAAAGACGGGACCCCGUGGGUCCGUCUUAACAGUAGUUAUCUGAAAUU